UGGCGGACGGGUGAGUAAUGUCUGGGAAACUGCCUGAUGGAGGGGGAUAACUACUGGAAACGGUAGCUAAUACCGCAUAACGUCGCAAGACCAAAGAGGGGGACCUUAGGGCCUCUUGCCAUCGGAUGUGCCCAGAUGGAAUUAGCUAGUAGGUGGGGUAACGGCUCACCUAGGCGACGAUCCCUAGCUGGUCUGAGAGGAUGACCAGCCACACUGGAACUGAGACACGGUCCAA
This 235-nucleotide ribosomal RNA is filed under the name uncultured bacterium. RNAcentral's name for it is "partial 16S ribosomal RNA". It matches the Rfam family "Bacterial small subunit ribosomal RNA", at positions 96 to 334 of the family's 1533-position model. The record is from RNAcentral.